GUCGCGCUAGUUUAUCCAGAACACUUAACUUGCACUUAGAAAGAGGGGGUUUACCCCCGCACGACA
Molecule: transfer RNA, 66 nt
Filed under: Sipunculus nudus (marine worm)
Lineage: Eukaryota; Metazoa; Annelida; Sipuncula; Golfingiida; Sipunculidae
Description: tRNA-Ala
Rfam family: tRNA
About the family: Transfer RNA (tRNA) molecules are approximately 80 nucleotides in length.
Source: RNAcentral